UGGGGAAUAUUGCACAAUGGAGGGAACUCUGAUGCAGCGACGCCGCGUGAGUGAUGAAGGAAUUCGUUUGGUAAAACUCUGUUCUAUGGGAAGAAAAGGACUGUACCAUAGGAGAAAGCUCCGGCUAAAUACGUGCCAGCAGCCGCGGUAAUACGUAUGGAGCGAGCGUUGUCCGGAAUUAUUGGGCGUAAAGGGUGCGCAGGCGGCUUUACAAGUUGGAUGUGAAAUAUUGUGGCUCAACCACAAACGUGCAUCCAAAACUGCAAAGCUUGAGUUAAGGAGAGGUAAGUGGAAUUCCUGGUGUAGCGGUGAAAUGCGUAGAUAUCAGGAGGAAUACCGGUGGCGAAGGCGACUUACUGGACUUAAACUGACGCUCAGGCACGAAAGCGUGGGGAGCAAACAGG
RNAcentral lists this ribosomal RNA (404 nucleotides) under Fusobacteriota bacterium. Its description in RNAcentral is "Fusobacteria bacterium partial 16S ribosomal RNA". It matches the Rfam family "Bacterial small subunit ribosomal RNA", at positions 355 to 776 of the family's 1533-position model. The record is from RNAcentral. Lineage: Bacteria; Fusobacteriati; Fusobacteriota.